CCUACGGGUGGCAGCAGUGGGGAAUAUUGGGCAAUGGAGGAAACUCUGACCCAGCAACGCCGCGUGAAUGAUGAAGGUCUUCGGAUUGUAAAGCUCUUUUCUAAGGGAAGAAGAAAGUGACGGUACCUUAGGAAUAAGCCUCGGCUAACUACGUGGCAGCAGCCGCGGUAAUACGUAGGAGGCAAGCGUUAUCCGGAAUGACUGGGCGUAAGGGGGGCGUAGGUGGUUUGGUAAUUUGGUAGGGGAACUCCGAGGCUCAACAUCGGCACUACUACCGAAACUGUCGGACUUGAGUGCAGGAGGGGCAACUGGAAUUCCUGGUGUAGCGGUGGAAUGCGUAGAUAUUAGGAGGAACACCAGUGGCGAAGGCGAGUUGCUGGACUGUAACUGACGCUGAGGCACGAAAGCGUGGGGAGCAAAAAGGAUUAGAUACCCUGGUAGUC
RNAcentral lists this ribosomal RNA (443 nucleotides) under uncultured bacterium. RNAcentral describes it as "partial 16S ribosomal RNA". It matches the Rfam family "Bacterial small subunit ribosomal RNA", at positions 338 to 795 of the family's 1533-position model. The record is from RNAcentral.